RNAcentral lists this ribosomal RNA (447 nucleotides) under uncultured bacterium. Its description in RNAcentral is "partial 16S ribosomal RNA". It matches the Rfam family "Bacterial small subunit ribosomal RNA", at positions 330 to 793 of the family's 1533-position model. The record is from RNAcentral.
UCCAGACUCCUACGGGAGGCAGCAGUGGGGAAUAUUGCACAAUGGGGGGAAACCCUGAUGCAGCGACGCCGCGUGAGCGAAGAAGUACCUCGGUAUGUAAAGCUCUAUCAGCAGGGAAGAAGAUGACGGUACCUGACCAAGAAGCUCCGGCUAAAUACGUGCCAGCAGCCGCGGUAAUACGUAUGGAGCAAGCGUUAUCCGGAUUUACUGGGUGUAAAGGGAGCGCAGGCGGCCUUGCAAGUCUGAUGUGAAAGGCCGGGGCCCAACCCCGGGACUGCAUUGGAAACUGCGAGGCUGGAGUGUCGGAGAGGCAGGCGGAAUUCCUAGUGUAGCGGUGAAAUGCGUAGAUAUUAGGAGGAACACCAGUGGCGAAGGCGGCCUGCUGGACGAUGACUGACGCUGAGGCUCGAAAGCGUGGGGAGCAAACAGGAUUAGAUACCCGUGUAA